GAUGAACGCUGGCGGCGUGCCUAAUACAUGCAAGUCGAGCGAACGGACGAGAAGCUUGCUUUUCUGAUGUUAGCGGCGGACGGGUGAGUAACACGUGGAUAACCUACCUAUAAGACUGGGAUAACUUCGGGAAACCGGAGCUAAUACCGGAUAAUAUUUUGAACCGCAUGGUUCAAAAGUGAAAGACGGUCUUGCUGUCACUUAUAGAUGGAUCCGCGCUGCAUUAGCUAGUUGGUAAGGUAACGGCUUGCCAAGGCAACGAUGCAUAGCCGACCUGAGAGGGUGAUCGGCCACACUGGAACUGAGACACGGUCCAGACUCCUACGAGAGGCAGCAGUAGGGAAUCUUCCGCAAUGGGCGAAAGCCUGACGGAGCAACGCCGCGUGAGUGAUGAAGGUCUUCGGAUCGUAAAACUCUGUUAUUAGGGAAGAACAUAUGUGUAAGUAACUGUGCACAUCUUGACGGUACCUAAUCAGAAAGCCACGGCUAACUACGUG
Molecule: ribosomal RNA, 497 nt
Filed under: uncultured bacterium
Lineage: Bacteria
Description: partial 16S ribosomal RNA
Rfam family: Bacterial small subunit ribosomal RNA
Source: RNAcentral